CUUGAUACUCCCACAUCACUACACGUAUAUACUCCCCUAACCAACACAUUUCCUUAGUAUCUAUGCUCCCACAAUACUACACGUCCAUACUCCCUUCCCAACACGUGUAUACAAAAAGAAAAAAAAGAAUAGGUACUGCAUACUCCCAGCCGUCACCAACGCGUCUUCCUCACCAAUUCCUACCAUCAACUCUCUCCCUCUCGACAUUCUCUUCACAAAAAUUAAGGAAACACCCAUCUCUAUUCAUCUAAAUCUCAACUCAGUAAUCGAUAUCGUCUUCUCUCUCUCUCCAUGUCCCAAAAAUUGGAGCAGCCACUCAUUCUCCGUCCCUUUUCUCCUUCGGCGACAGGUUCAUGUUGAAAAUAGUUUCAAACAAAAUGGCCAAAGAUUAUAUCUUGGGAGCGGUUACAGAUUAUUCAAGGAAUUAUUCAAGAAGUUGCAAGGAUGAACUAAAUUCUCGUGGCCUACUGUGAGUGUGCUACCAUGAUUCAUGAAAAUAUGCAGCAAGAAUUUCAUAUGUAAUUGGGAGAAAUAUACCUUUAUGUAAGGGAGAAAGAUAUUGCAAUUGCAGGAGGAAUGAAACUCACGGCUUUCUCCUCUGGAA
Salvia hispanica is the source of this 604-nucleotide non-coding RNA. NCBI's taxonomy places the organism in Eukaryota, Viridiplantae, Streptophyta, Magnoliopsida, Lamiales, Lamiaceae. The record is from RefSeq and is a predicted model, not a curated record.